CAGUACUGGGAGAAAUGGAUUGCAAAAUACUAACUGGAGUAAGGGGAAUGGAGAAGAGAGGCAGAGUCCCUGAACUGUCCCUUUGAAUGGAAUCUAAUGCUUGUGAAAGAUGCUGGAUCACCAGGUGCAGAGAUUGAACUCUACCCACUGGAAAGGUUUUUCUACAGCGACAGGAGGUCUUCCCUUGCAUCUCAUGGGAACAUUUAGCGUUUUGAUAAUGCCUCCUUCACAAUGAAGGGAAGAAAGGAUGGAUCAGCAGGGAUGUGCAAUGGAGUG
This is a non-coding RNA of Pseudopodoces humilis (Tibetan ground-tit), 276 nucleotides long. NCBI's taxonomy places the organism in Eukaryota, Metazoa, Chordata, Aves, Passeriformes, Paridae. The record is from RefSeq and is a predicted model, not a curated record.